This 1019-nucleotide long non-coding RNA is filed under the name Lepidothrix coronata (blue-crowned manakin). RNAcentral describes it as "lncRNA (ENSLCOG00000004458.1)". Lineage: Eukaryota; Metazoa; Chordata; Aves; Passeriformes; Pipridae. The record is from RNAcentral.
CGGAAAAGAUGGCGGUGGCGGGGGGACCGGCCGGGGGCAGCGAGUGAGGGACGGGGCGGGCAGGGUUGGAGGGAGACGCGGUUCCGGCGUCGACGCGGCUGAGGGGAGGCAGGUGCUGGGCAGCGGGGAGGGGGAGGACGAGGAAGCCGGGGGUGACUCGUAGCGGGGAUGAGGAGCCGGGGAGCCGGGGCAGGGAGGCGGUGAGGAGGGAGCGCGACUGCCCCGUAUGCGCGGGCGCCCCUCGCCCCUCACGGCUCCCUCACUGCCCUGGGGACGGGGCGCAGCUCGGCGGCCCGGCGGAGGAGGCGGAAGAGCCGCGGCAGCGCUGGCGGGGGCAGAGGAAGGCGCACAGCGGUGGCACAAAUGUGAUUCGGCGUCACUUAGUGGUUUGGUUCGUCAAAGCGUGCUGGAAAGCAUUCGGCUGCUCGGUAGCUGAAAUGCCACUGGAGUGUGAAGGCUGCGUCUUAGGAAGAGCUGAGCCGCUGUCCUCUCUGUGAGAAGAUAUUUAAGGGCCUUGACUGGAAAACCCUCAGUUAAAAAACUGUUAGACAACUUAUUAAUCUCGAAACUCUCUGUUAGCAGGGCUUGUUUUCUGUUAUGUGCCCUCUCUGACCUCCUGCGACGAGGGGCGGAUGUUUACAGGUGUCUGUGACGGCAGCCUCGGUUCCUGUAGUAAUUUUAGUCUUCGUUGCCAUUCACAGCUUCAGAAGUGGUUGGAUGUAAAGCAAAAUAGUUCAGAUUUCUGUAAAUGUCAGCUUCAUUGAGUUAACUGCAGAGAAAUGAAGAUGCAGGUGUACUAAAGUAUCUGACUCUUGUUUGUUUACUAUUGCCUUGCAUGUGUCCUUCCCCCUCCCUCCGUGCCUCUCCACCCACCCCCAACCCUCCACCCCCCCACCCCCCGCCAACUAUAAACAAUAUGAUGGUUGUGACCUGAAGACAAGCCUUUUGGUAAAACUGUCACAGAAACUUUUAACUUUCUGAAAAAAAAAUAAAAUAAGUUUCUGCAGAAUGUGUUUUCA